GGUGUGAGUGUGACAGCUGGCAGUGCAUUAUGGGACAGUACACUGUGUUCUGGGAUAUUCCACAGGUUGCUGACAUGCCUACAACAAAGUUUGCUCUGUGCCAGGAUGGUGACCACUUCCCCUUUAGGAAUCUCCAACAGGAAGAGCACUGCUUCUUCUCUCACUACACCUUGAAAAUCCACAUUGUUCACCUUUAACAUGCAAACAAAGGGUACAAUAAUUAGGACUGUUUGCUAUUCAGGCCCUCCUCUUCAGCAGGACUGCCCUCUUGAACACUAGCAAUGAAGAUGCCAACAUCAUUACCUCCUGCCAGCCUCAGCCCCACGCUGUCUCCCUUCUGGAAAUUCACCAUCACUGUGUUCGGUCUA
Epinephelus moara (kelp grouper) is the source of this 368-nucleotide long non-coding RNA. RefSeq lists it as uncharacterized. The record is from RefSeq and is a predicted model, not a curated record. Lineage: Eukaryota; Metazoa; Chordata; Actinopteri; Perciformes; Serranidae. The transcript has 3 exons.